Molecule: long non-coding RNA, 307 nt
Filed under: Manihot esculenta (cassava)
Lineage: Eukaryota; Viridiplantae; Streptophyta; Magnoliopsida; Malpighiales; Euphorbiaceae
Description: long non-coding RNA (MESC_LNC005908)
Source: RNAcentral
CCUGGAGCAAAAACGGCCAGGAUCCCACAAGAUCUCCCCGGAGCAAAAAUGGCCGGCGGGAUCAACAAGAUCUCCUCGGAACAAAAAUGACCUGGAGCCCUGAAACACAGCCCGUAUGAGGCUCGUCAAGAAAGCAAGAAAUUAAGCGCUGACUUCACAAAAAAGAAGGAGAAUUUUCGAACUCAUGAGCCCGUCACACAAACAACGCAAAAGCUGUAGCACAAAAAUCCAAGCAAAUAACAAAAACCCGAGCUCCUUAAUCCGCUGAACGGACGAACUCACGACAAAAGCAAAUGAUCCCACCCAC